RNAcentral lists this long non-coding RNA (6855 nucleotides) under Ananas comosus (pineapple). RNAcentral's name for it is "long non-coding RNA (ACOM_LNC037886)". Lineage: Eukaryota; Viridiplantae; Streptophyta; Magnoliopsida; Poales; Bromeliaceae. The record is from RNAcentral.
UGCAACAAGUAUUUUUUCUCAUUCAAUCGAACAAAGAGUAAAACCUAAUUAUAUUGUUCUAUUAUGGCCCGAGAGUACAAAUUUUGAUCGAAUCGAUGUCAACGUUCACAAGAACCAAAACCGGAACAACAUUAGACUACUCAGUUGCGCCAUAACAAUAUAACUUUGCAACUAGUACUUUUUCUCAUUCUAUCGAAAAAAGAGUAAAAGCUAAUUAUAUUGUUCUAUUAUUCCCCGAGAGUGUAAUUUCGAACGAAUCGAUAUCAAUGUUCACAAGAAUCAAAACCGGAACAACAUUAGACAACUCAGUUGCGCCCUAACGGUAUAACUUUGCAACGAGUACUUUUUCUCAUUCAAUCGAACAAAGAGUAAAAUCUAAUUAUAUUGUUCUAUUAUGCCCCGAGAGUGUAAAUUUCGAACGAAUCGUUGUCAACGUUUACAAUAACCAAAACCGGAACAACAUUAGACUACUCAGUUGCGCCCUAACAGUAUAAAUUUGCAACGAGUUCUUUUUCUCAUUCUAUCGAACAAAGAGUAAAAACUAAUUAUAUUGUUCUAUUAUGCCCCGAGAGUGUAAAUUUCGAACGAAUCGAUGUCAACGUUCACAAAAACCAAAACCGGAACAACAUUAGACUACUCAGUUGCGCCCUAAUAAUAUUACUUUGCGACGAUUACUUUUUAUCAUUCAAACAAACAAAGAGUAAAAACCUAAUUAUAUUGUUUUAUUAUGCCCCGAGAGUGUAAUAGUGGAACGAAACGAUAUCAAAGUUCACAAGAACCAAAACCGGAACAACAUUAGACUACUCGGUUGCGUCCUAACAGUAUAACUUUGCAACAAGUACUUUUUCUCACUCUUUCGAACAAAGAGUAAAAACUAAUUAUAUUGUUCUAUUAUACCCCAAGAGUGUAAUGUUGGAAGGAAUCGAUGUCAACGUUCACAAGAACAAAAUCCGGAACAACAUUAGACUACUCACUUGUGCCCUAACAUUAUAACUUUGCAACGAGUACUUUUUCUCAUUCAAUCAAACAAAGAGUAAAUCCUAAUUACAUUGUUCUAUUAUGCCCCGAGAGUGUAAUGUUGGAAGGAAUCGAUGUCAACGUUCACAAGAACCAAAACCGGAACUACAUUAGACAACUCACUUGCGCCCUGACAGUAUAAAUUUGCAACGAGUUCUUUUUCUCAUUCUAUCGAACAAAGAGUAAAAACCUAAUUAUAUUGUUCUAUUAUACCCCGAGAGUGUAAUAUUAGAACGAAUCGAUGUCUACGUUCACAAGAACCAAAAUCGGAACAACAUUAGACUACUCAGUAGCGGCCUAACAGUAUAAAUUUGCAACGAAUACUUUUUCUCAUUCUAUUGAACAAAGAGUAAAACCUAAUUAUCUUGUUCUAUUAUGCCCUGAGAGUGUAAAUUUCGAACGAAUCGAUGUCAACGUUCACAAGAACCAAAACCGGAACAAUAUUAGACUACUCAAUUACGCCCAAACAAUAUAACUUUGCAAGAGUACUUUUUCUCAUUCAAACAAACAAAGAGUAAAAACCUAAUUAUAUUGUUCUAUUAUGCUCCGAGAGCGUAAUAGUGGAACGAAACGAUGUCAAAGUUCACAAGAACCAAAACCGGAACAACAUUAGACUACUCGGUUGCGUCCUAACAGUAUAACAUUGCAACAAGUACUUUUUCUCACUCUUUCAAACAAAGAGUAAAAACUAAUUAUAUUGUUCUAUUAUACCCCGAAAGUGUAAUAUUGGAAGGAAUCGAUGUCAACGUUCACAAGAACCAAAACCGGAACAACAUUAGACUACUCACUUGCGCUCUAACAUUAUAACUUUGCAACGAGUACUUUUUCUCAUUCAAUCAAACAAAGAGUAUAUCCUAAUUAUAUUGUUCUAUUAUGCCCCGAGAGUGUAAUGUUGGAAGGAAUCGAUGUCAAUGUUCACAAGAACCAAAACCGGAACUGCAUUAGACAACUCACUUGCGCCCUAACAGUAUAAAUUUGCAACGAGUUCGUUUUCUCAUUCUAUCGAACAAAGAGUAAAAACCUAAUUAUAUUGUUCUAUUAUACCCCGAGAGUGUAAUAUUGUAACGAGUCGAUGUCUACGUUCACAAGAACCAAAAUCGGAACAACAUUAGUGUGACACCCUGACUUCCCAGGGGGUCACCCAUCCUAGGACUACUCCCGUCCUAGCAUGCUUAACUCUCUUAACCUCUUGGGUCUAGCACCACCCAAAAUGAUUAAGCCGGGUUAAGAGUUUAGCCAUAUUAUAUCUUAUAUAUAGGAUUAUCUGGGGUCUCACAUUCUCCCCUCCUUUAAGCCCUGACGUCCUCGUCAGGCUUAGACUCACAAGUACCGGGCGAUGUGAGACUCGUCUCGCUAGCCUGUCAUCCAGACCCUGGCUCAGCCGAGACUCAUCUCACACUUCCGGCUGGUAAUUGGCUCUGAUACCAUCUGUGACACCCUGACUUCCCAGGGGGUCACCCAUCCUAGGACUACUCCCGUCCUAGCACGCUUAACUCUCUUAACCUCUUGGGUCUAGCACCACCCAAAAUGAUUAAGCCGGGUUAAGAGUUUAGCCAUAUUAUAUCUUAUAUAUAGGAUUAUCUGGGGUCUCACAAUUAGACUACUCAGUAGCGGCCUAACAGUAUAAAUUUGCAACGAAUACUUUUUCUCAUUCUAUCGAACAAAGAGUAAAACCUAAUUAUCUUGUUCUAUUAUGUCCCGAGAGUGUAAAUUUCGAACGAAUCGAUGUCAACGUUCACAAGAACCAAAACCGGAAUAACAUUAGACUACUCAGUUGCGCCCUAACUGUCCCGCCCCGGGACCGAUGCCAAUUUGGCUCGACCCGAGCACGUCAAAUAGACGCCGAAUGGACAGAGUUUCCCCUAUCCGCCCAAGGCUCAUCACAUGUACAAAUUCAAACAAGAAAUGCACUAGCGAAACAUGCACAAACGGCUUACACGAGGGUAAGCAAUAGCAAUUAGUGAAAGAUAGGAAACUAGCAUUCAUUCUGUACUAUGAUUCAGUUUAGAUCAUAUACAUUACAUCCAACUUGUAAUUUAUCGAUUUCUUACAUUCAUUACAUCAUUUCAUCAUAUCUUUCUUACAUAACAUUUACCUCAAAAUACACAUUACAUUCUUUUCUUUACAGCAUUUAUUAUCAUGUACCAAAAGAUGAUCAUAGGGUACUUUACUACAAAAUGAAACCAAACUUUGGUGGCCUCUGACUAAGGCGCGAUACCUUUACCUCGGUCGCUCGCCGGCAAGCUCGGUCCCGGCUCUGUGGAAAUAGUGGGGUGAGAACUACAACAAAGUUCCCAAUGGGUUCGGCCUCAACAUCACCGACUUUCCCACUAGGACUAACUCAGGCAUAAUAGAAAGAAUAAGCUGCAUAUAGUAACCAAUCUAUACCUAAUGCUAAUAUGCCUGAACAAUAAAGCAAGGAGUAUGCUCAACAUUAAAUAAUGCAGAUUAUGCAAAUUCUUUGUUCUUUUUAUUUUACUCUUUGUUCUUUGUUCUUUGUUUUUUGCACUUUGUUCUUUGCUCUUUGUUCUUUAAUCUUAAGGCUAAUCCGGGGAUAUCGCCACAUUAACUUGCUUCACAUUAAGUCCAUCAUCGCAGGAACUCACUCGCUAGGACCGUCCUUCGGGUUUACUCCAACCCGUGAUACAUAACUCCGGAGCGCAUCGCCCGAGGGGGAGUGACCGCCCUCAAGCACGGAACUCAUAGCAAGUAUGAUCGAAUUCUUAACUUAAAGGAUUAUAUGUUCAAUCUUGACUUUACACUAACUCUAGUGUUCUUUACGUCACUUCAUGUUGCUACUCUAGCAAUCAUUGUUCUUUACAUUUCCCUACUUUUGCUAACUUUAGCAUUCUUGUUCUUUACAUUUCUUAUUCUUAUUGCCCCACUUUACUUUAACUUUACACAUUGUCAUUAUCAUCAUUCUUUACAUCACUUUGGUUCUUUGGCUCACACUAACUCUAGUGUCACUUUACUUUACGUCUUCAAAUGCCACUCGAUAUAUGUCAUAGUGUCACUCUGUUCUUUUGCUCACUUUGGGUGCUCACUUUUCUCUCAUGCAUACACAUAGGGUUUUUACAUUCAUAAGGUUCUCAACCAUCACAUUAGGCAAGUUGUACUCACAAUCAUGCAACAUCACAUUCUCAUCAUCUCUUUACCCUAAAAUGCAUUCAACAAAUAUGUAACAUAUGCUCAAUUGAAUGACACAUUAGGCAUAGAGAGAAGUUCAACGAGUUUGGAAAGCACCACCCACCUCGUAGGCUUUCAAAGGUGCUCCGACGAUUUUCUUGGGAUUUUUAGGCUUCUCGUUCUUUACCUGCGGCAAAACGAAGCCCUAAUAGGUCAUUUGCUCAUAUCUUUUCAUUGGUUCUUCGGAAUGUUAAUCCGAGCGCACCAACGUGUCGGAAAUAUCCCCAAUUAGGUUUCUAGAGGGUCAAUUGCACUUAGAAAUCCCCAUGAGCAAAGGCCCCAAUUUGGUGCCCUAGCUCCAUAGCAUUCAUCAAACCUAGGGUUUGAUCUCAAAGAGAAGCAAAAGUAGCUUCAUUCUACUCUAAAGAGUCCAUCUAAACCAUCUUUAGACAAAUCAAAACCCUACUUAGGGUUUCACCAUGAGAGGUGAUGAAGCUCACCUUCAAGCUUCACCAUUUCUAUGGUCUUGAUCUCAAAAGAAGCAAAAGAAAAGCUUCAAAUACUCAAAUGGUUCCAUAAAACCCAUUUUAAACUUAAUCCAAACCCUAAAUUAGGUUCUACCAUAAUUAGGGUUCAAAGCUUACUUUGUAAGCUCUCAUUUUCCAAGCUAGAGAUGAGGGAGAGGGAGUUUCUUCACUUCUUCUUCUUCUUCUCGACUUUCUUCUUCUUCUUUUUCCUUCCUUUUCCUUCUCUUCUUCUUCUCCUUCUUUGUCUUCUAGACAGAGAAAAAGAGAUGAGAGGGGAUGAGAGGGUGAGAUUGAGAGAAAUCCCUCAUUUACCCCAAUACAUAGCUCAUUGGGUUGCAAAAUUGCAGAUAAACCCCUCAACUUUUACUCUUUCACACAGCCUGGACUGGGCUGUUCGCGCAGGCGGGUACCGGUCUUUCCUUCAGGGACCGGUUCUCGAAGGCUCUCCCCGCGCAGCCAGAGCUGCUGCGCGCAGGACAACCGGUCUCUCUUUGGGGGACCGGUCUCUCGGGGACCGGUCUCUCAGGUAGGGACCGGUUCCCGAGAGCUAGUUUCUCAGGACUUAGCCGAUUUUUCGACUGUCUCAUUUCAUACGCGUUCGGGGACCGGUCUCUCCCACCAGGGACCGGUCCCCCAGAGCUCAAAACUGCAGAAUGCAGAUUUUGAUUCUAUAGCUCUCGAAAACCUCCCGUAACUCACUUUUAAUCAUUUUAACACCAUCGGACUUUUCGAAGUGUACCAUCCUUGCACUUUGGUCAAUUUGACUAAAGUUCGAUAUUUAUUUUCCGAAUUUUCGGUAUAUUACACUAACAGUAUAAAUUUGUAACGAGUUCUUUUUCUCAUUUAAUCAAACAAAGAGUAAAACCUAAUUAUAUUGUUCUAUUAUGCCCCGAGAGUGAAAUGUUGGAACGAAUCGAUGUCAACGUUCACAUGAACCAAAACCGAAACAACAUUAAACUACUCAUUUUCGCCCUAACAGUAUAAAUUUGCAACGAGUACUUUUUUUCAUCCAAUCCAAAAAAGAGUAAAACCUAAUUAUAUUGUUCUAUUACACCCCGAGAGUGUAAUGUUGGAAGGAAUCGAGAUCAACGUUCACAAGAACCAAAAUCGGAACAACAUUAGACUACUCGCGCCCUAACAUUAUAACUUUGCAACGAGUACUUUUUCUCAUUCAAUCAAACAAAGAGUAAAUCCUAAUUACAUUGGUCUAUUAUGCCCCAAGAGUGUAAUGUUGGAAGGAAUCGAUGUCAACGUUCACAAAAACCAAAACCGGAACUGCAUUAGACAACUCACUUGCGCCCUAACAGUAUAAAUUUGCAACGAGUGCUUUUUCUCAUUCUAUCGAACAAAGAGUACAAGCUAAUUAUACUGUUCUAUUAUACCCUGAGAGUGUAAAUUUCGAACGAAUACAUGUCAACGUUAACAAGAACCAAAACCGAAACAACAUUAGACUACACAGUUGCGCCCUAACUGUAUAACUUUACAACGAGUACUUUUUCUCAUUCAAUCAAACAAAGAGUAAAACCUAAUUGUAUUGUUUUAUUAUGCCCCGAGAGUGUAAUAUUGGAACAAAUCGAUGUCAACGUUCACAAGAACCAAAACCGGAACAACAUUAAACUACUCGGUUGCGCCAUAAUAGUAUAAAUUUGCAACGAAUACUUUUUCUUAUUCUAUCGAACAAAGAGUAAAAGCUAAUUAUAUUGUUCUAUUAUGCCCCGAGAGUGUAAAUUUCGAACGAAUCGUUGUCAACGUUCACAAGAACCAAAACUUGAACAAUAUUAGACUACUCAGUUGCGCCCUAACAGCAUAAAUUUGCAACGAGUUUUUUUUCUCAUUCUAUCGAACAAAGAGUAAAAACUAAUUAUAUUGUUUUAUUAUGCCCUGAGAGUGUAAAUUUCAAACGAAUCGAUGUCAACGUUCACAAGAACCAAAACGGAAACAACAUUAGACUACUAAGUUGCGCCAUAACAGUAUAACUUUGCAACAAGUACUUUUUCUAAUUCAAUCGAACAAAGAGUAAAACCUAAUUACCUUGUUCUAUUAUGCCCCGAGACUGUAAAUUUCGAACGAAUCGAUGUCAACGUUCACAAGAACCAAAACCGGAACAACAUUAGACUACUCAGUUGCGCCCUAACAAUAUAACUUUGCAACGAGUACUUUUUCUCAUUCAAACAAACAAAAAGUA